UUUGAUUAUGAGUUGGGUUGGGUUGGGUUACCCAUUUUGACACCCCUAGUAACAACAGAAUGAAUUUUGUUUAUAGAGACAAAAAAACAUGAAGUAAU
RNAcentral lists this small RNA (98 nucleotides) under Arabidopsis thaliana (thale cress). RNAcentral describes it as "ATSL108680". Lineage: Eukaryota; Viridiplantae; Streptophyta; Magnoliopsida; Brassicales; Brassicaceae. The record is from RNAcentral.